Molecule: long non-coding RNA, 5610 nt
Filed under: Brassica napus (rape)
Lineage: Eukaryota; Viridiplantae; Streptophyta; Magnoliopsida; Brassicales; Brassicaceae
Description: long non-coding RNA (BNAP_LNC023678)
Source: RNAcentral
ACAAUUUGACUUUUGAUUUAUUAUAUAGUAUUUUUUUUUGGUAACACAAACAUAUUUCAUUCAUAAUUUAGCCAGAUACAAAGAUAAAAGCAACAUCAAAGACUGGAUGUGCGAUCCUAAUGAAAACGUUCAAUACAAGGCAGUAAAGAGAUAGAGACACAAGCUUAGAUAAACUUGAUAACAAGUUGAAAGAGUGAUCAAAGGUGCCACGUACGAAGAAACCUCUAGAGAGAUUACACCGUCCUUUAAAUUCUUCAACGAAAAUAGUCACCGUAUAUCGUGACGUCGAGCGUUCUACAACCUCGAUUCUCACUGUGAUGGUUCAAUGAGAGAUCCUUUUCCACCUUCCUCCGCUUUGCAGGAGUGACAACUUCCAUCAAAAUCUUCCUUCAUGAGAAGGACCCCUGUCUUGGCUGCAUAGCCAAUGAUCAUUUUCGAUUUUCUUACUGCUUGAUACCCAAGCGAACCAUCACACAAGGUAUCAAGCGGUAAGGAAAUCGACAAUGAUCAUUGGCUAUGCAGCCAAGACAGGGGUCCUGCUCAUGAAGGAAGACUUUGAUGGAAGUUGUCACUCCUGCAAAGCGGAAGAAGGUGGAAAAGAAUCUCUCAUGGCCCUUGCAUGAGGAAGUUUGGCUAGCCUUUCUAAGAGUGGAAAAAGCUAAAGGACUACAAUCUUCGAGCUGCGAUAGAUUCCAACAUAAUAAUAAUAAUAUUGAUGUGGUACUUGCUGUUGUUAUACAAUUUAAUUUAUAUUCAGUUUAUGAUGAGUUGUGCCGACGAUGAUGUAACCGAAAAACGUAAGCUACUCGAUGUUUACGUUGGUGCAAGUCGACAUAUUGCCACUCACUACAUCUUUCAUCUUUCUCCAAAGCCAAGCCCUAAAGUGGACUUUAUUUUAUCUUCCUUUUUUUCUGCUUUCGACCAUGAUUAUCGCAUAAGCGAUCCUUAGGGUUUUUUUUUUUCUUAAAAAAAAAUAAAAAAUAAAAAAUAAGCCAAUCGCGGGUCGGCACGUGUCGGUGGACCCCGUAAACAGUGUUAAAACCCCCCAAUUACCGAUCCUUAUUUGGUGAUUUAUAGAAGUGGUUUUUAAAAUUUUUAUGGGACUCACACGUCAUUGGAAUCCACAUUUUGUCAAAAAAACUCUUUAAGGACCUUGGGAUGCUGAUGUUCUUACUUGUAAUAAAAAUGACGCGAACUUGUUAGUGUCCCCCUACAUGGACAUAGGACUCUAAUACAUAAUAGAUUAUUCAUUUUAUCACUAUAUACAUAUAUAUACAUUUCUCAUUUUCUAAUAAUUGAAUAGAUGGAUAAUCAAAAUGGUUUACUAUAUAGGCCAAUAUUAGUUAGUGCCUAUAAUGUUCUGUUGUACGUACCUACACAAACUCCUCUUUUUGCAAUUUGCUUGUCUCAAUCUCUUUUCAAGUAAAAGGAGUAAUUAAGAAACAAAUUCCUAAAAAGAGAGAGAGAAAAAGUAGGUUGUUAGUUUCUACAUGCAAGGUAUUACUAUAAUGUCAUAUUCAUAAUAUUGAAUAUAUCCCAUACAAAAAUAAAGUCUAGAUAAAAAGUAGUUGAUGAGUUACAUGAUAUUUUCCUCUUGAGUUGGAAGAAACGUAUAUGGAAUGAAUUCUACCAAAACAGGGCAAAAAAAUAAAAAUAAAAAUAUGUUCUUGAAAGAUAGUUCCUUUUUAGAUUAGACACAAAAUAAAUAAAAAUGUCUUGUACUCUUAUGCAUUUAGGCGUGUGCACUGCACCCACCCAAAUGUAUGGCCUAAAGCUCUAUAAAUAUAUUUCUACACACAAAGCAUAACCGUAGUUCUCUUUCACACACACAAAACAUAACCUUACUUAUUUUUCUCUCCCUUAAAAAAACGUUCACAAAAUCACAAGCUUAAAUAUUCUCGCUUCAUGGCUGGAGGAGGUAAAAGAAGAGGACUUAGCAAAUCUUGUGCCCUUCUCAUAGUGAUUGCCGGGAUAGAGAGAUAUGCAUUUAAAGGAGUUGCAUCAAACUUAGUGACUUAUUUAACUGAUGUGGUAAAGAUGAGCAAUUCAAGAGCAGCCACGACUGUUAACACUUGGAGUGGCUUCACUUUCAUGUUGCCUCUCUUCUCUGCUCCUUUCGCCGAUUCUUACGGGGACAGAUUCUUCACCAUCCUCGCUUCUUCUUCUCUAUACUUUGUUGUAAGUAUUACUAAACCAACCUUCAGAAAGAGUCGAUUCAAAUUUUUUCGCUUAACUAUAUCUUCCAUAUUGAAAUAUAUAUGUCUCAUAUGAUCUCUUAUCAAGUGGUCCCUUUCCUUUUUCAUAACAUCUUCUCCUUUUUACCUUUACGUUUAUUUUUGUAAAUCCAUAAAUUUUCUACGAAUUAGUUUAAAGUUCUUUCUCAAUUUUUUUUUGUUUAUGAUGUGUUAUUGAUCAUGUGACCCUCUUCUUUGCGUAUUUUUAUUAGGUCUAUUUGCUUGACAACUGGAACUUUUAGGAAUUGUUACGAAACGUUUCUUAAGAUCUUUGUACUUUGUUUAUGUGGUUUGGUACUAAGCAUGUGAACAUUUCGAUGGAUUUUCUGAGAAAAUUAUUUUCUCUAACUAUUUCCUAAUCAAUCUUUCUUUUUAGAGUAUGGAACGUACGUUACCAAUUAAGCACAUACUGUUGGUAAAGUUUGGUUCCAUAAUGUGAUUUUUCUGGAUCUGAUCCAAAAAAGUUAAGCCUAGUGUACAAUCAACUAAGAUAAUGGAACUCGUAUCAUUCCUCACUAAUCAUGCAUUAUAUUCCAUUACUAGAUCUUACACCACAGAAUAUUUAGUAUUAGUAAAAAGGAAAUAAACCCACUAUGUAAGUUUUAAGUUUUACCCUAAUUUUUCUUCAUAGGAAAAAUAGUGUUAUAAAAUCUGAACUUAGAUAGGAAAUUGGACAGCAUUUUAUUGGAAACUUAAUUAAAAUCAUUUAUCUUGUAUAUUACUAAGUUCUUAUUAAAAGUUUAAAUAUUUCUGACUACUAUUAUUUUAAUUCAUUUUGGAGAUUCUAUUAUUUUGCUAAUUAUGUAAGUUGCUAAUGUUUGGCAUUUUGUUGGGUAUAUGUAAAUAGGGACUAGUGGGAUUGACAUUGACGGCAUUUGCCGGGUCACGUUCCACUACUACAACCAUAUCUAUUUUCUUCCUGUACACUUCACUUAGCCUCGUCGCUCUCGGCCUAGGCGUCUUAAACCCAUCUCUUCAAGCAUUUGGUGCUGACCAGCUUGACCACGACCUUGGCCAUGACCAUGAACAAGACCAAGAGCCAUCCUCAGAGAACAAAGAAGUCAAAUCGGACCGCAAGUCUCAGUUUUUCCAAUGGUGGUACUUUGGUGUCUGCGCCGGUAGUCUUCUAGGAGUCACCGUCAUGGCUUAUAUCCAAGACACAUUUGGUUGGGUUCUCGGUUUUGCAAUCCCAACCGGUUCCAUGUUACUAUUGAUCUUCUUGUUCCUAUGCGGCUGCGGAGUUUAUGUCUAUGCUGAUCAGGGUUCACACCUAAAAUCUAGACCAUUUCAAAGGAUCUUUGAUACGAUCAAAGGAGUAGUGACGAGAAGAAGUAAGAUCACUCUUGAGAACAACCACGAUUUAAAUGCCAUGGAGCUAGAGUGAGUACUCAUCAUUAUUCAAUCCAUAAUAGACACAAAAUUUUGAUGUGCUUUUAGUUGCCGGUUUGGUUUAGUUUUUCGGUUUAUGAAAUAUUGAAGCUGAAUGGAAACCAAAUAAUCGGUGAGUCUGAUUUUUGGUUUCAGUUUAGAACCGAUUUUCUAGUAAAUUAAGUUUCAGUUUCAGGAUUGUUGGCAUAAGACAGUAUGUAAAUUUUAAAUGUGAUUUUUAAAAUAUUAAAUUUUUUACUAGGUUGCUUUUAUAGUACAAUUGGAUUCUUGUCACGGUUUGUUGGAAUACAUAUAUUAUUCCGUUUAUUUUGUUUCCGGUUUGGUUUAAAGAUCGGUUGACUCGCACUGAACACCCCUUUAAUCUUGCUCUUAUAUUAUUGUAUAUAGGCUGCAAGGGAAGCCUCUAUGUAACUGUAGCAACACUGAAGCUACUACCACUACCACUACCACUAAUACUAGUACAAAGAGCUUAGCUGGUGAUGAAAGCAGCAAAACAGGUUUCUCCAGCCUCAAAACCAUCAAGCUAUUGCUUCGGUUAUUACCCAUAUGGACGAUGCUUCUAAUGUUCGCCGUUAUAUUCGAACAACCAGCGACAUUUUUCACAAAGCAAGGUAUGGCUAUGAAGAGAAACAUCGGACCAAACUUCAAAAUCCCACCCGCAACGCUACAAAGCACAAUCACCUUGUCUAUAAUCCUUCUCAUGCCGUUAUACGACAAAGUCUUGAUCCCUAUGGCCAAGAAAAUAUCGAAAAACGAAAAGGGUAUUACCGUCAUGACAAGAAUGGGAAUCGGCAUGUUCAUAUCCAUCAUUGCCAUCGUUAUAGCCGCGUUAGUCGAAAGAAAAAGACUAAAGAUAAGCAAAGAGAUGAAGACUUCACCGAAUACUACAGAACCGUUGAGCAUAUUCUGGCUCUUACCUCAAUAUAUUCUACUAGGAAUCUCGGAUAUUUUCACGGUUGUAGGGAUGCAAGAGUUCUUCUACAGCGAGGUUCCUGUUAGAAUGAGAGCGAUGGGGUUUGCGUUGUACACGAGUGUUUUUGGUGUGGGGAGUUUCGUGAGCGCUGCGUUGAUAUCUGUGAUAGAGAGUUACACGAAGUCAAGAGGUGGGAAACAUAACUGGUUUGCAGAUGAUAUGUCGGAAGCUAGACUUGAUAACUAUGAUUGGCUUUUGGCGCUCACAAGCGCUAUUAGCUUUUUCAUGUAUAUUGUAAUUUGCAAGUAUUUUAAGAGUAGUAGUGAUGAGGAUGAGGAUAAAUGCGAUGAAACUAGUUGAUAAACUUAAAACAGCUCAAAAAUAGCUGUUUGGUAACGCUAUGCGAGUUGCAUCUAAUGAAUGUCAAGUGUUAACAAAAAAUCAUAAAUAUAUGGAGAACUAUAUUUGGUUUGACCAAAAAAAAAUAUGGAGAACUAUAUAUAUUCAUACAUAUCUUACACGUAUUAUUUAAUAUUACAUAACUGUAUAACAAAUUAAAAUAACAAAAAUCUUAAAACACUCCACACAAUUUGACUUUUGAUUUAUUAUAUAGUAUUUUUUUUUGGUAACACAAACAUAUUUCAUUCAUAAUUUAGCCAGCUACAAAGAUAAAAGCAACAUCAAAGACUGGAUGUGCGAUCCUAAUGAAAACGUUCAAUACAAGGCAGUAAAGAGAUAGAGACACAAGCUUAGAUAAACUUGAUAACAAGUUGAAAGAGUGAUCAAAGGUGCCACGUACGAAGAAACCUCUAGAGAGAUUACACCGUCCUUUAAAUUCUUCAACGAAAAUAGUCACCGUAUAUCGUGACGUCGAGCGUUCUACAACCUCGAUUCUCACUGUGAUGGUUCAAUGAGAGAUCCUUUUCCACCUUCCUCCGCUUUGCAGGAGUGACAACUUCCAUCAAAAUCUUCCUUCAUGAGAAGGACCCCUGUCUUGGCUGCAUAGCCAAUGAUCAUUUUCGAUUUUCUUACUGCUUGAUACCCAAGCGAACCAUCACACAAGGUAUCAAGCGG